UUGCAGGAAAGCAAUUGGCUAUUGCUAAGAAGGUUACAACCUUUGACAGAGCAAACUCUAUGAGAACUUGUAAUCCAUCUUUUAUUGCUGUCAUGCAUCCAUCAUACAUUGAUGCUGCUUGUAAUCUGCAUAUACCAAGUGAGUUUGGUAAAAGACACUUAUUAGGUUUAGGGAAAAAGAAAGGAGAUAUUCAUCUUAGGUUAUUAAAUGGGAAAGUUUGGCCUGCAAGGUACCUAAUUAGGAAAGGCAAUAGAAAAGGAGAAAAAUUUGAAAUGUACUCAAGUGAAUGGAAGACAUUUGCAGAAGACAACAACUUGAAAGUUGGUGAUGUUUGCACUUUUGAGCUCUUUCCUACUAGCACUAUACUUACCUUCAUUGUUCACAUCUUUAGGGAUUCUUUUGAGAUAUAAACAAUUGAAAACUUUCAAGAAUCAACACACUAAGGAGUGGAGCUAUUUUGGAAUAGAGAAGGGACAUGAAAAUCAUCUUUACUACCUAAUCACCAUAACAACAAGAGUUUCAAAAAUGUUCUUCUAUGCACUCUGUUUGAUCCAGUUCAUGUUUUUGAACACUACUAUUAACCAAAAAUGGUACAACUACUAUUUUGCUUCGCUUUGGUGUUUGCGCCUGAGCUUCACUUGAUUGAAUGUAAUGCCUACUUUGUUGUUUUUCUUCAUGAAUUUUUGCAAAAUACUUUUCACUAAA
Molecule: long non-coding RNA, 705 nt
Organism: Medicago truncatula (barrel medic)
Lineage: Eukaryota; Viridiplantae; Streptophyta; Magnoliopsida; Fabales; Fabaceae
Exons: 3
Source: RefSeq, a predicted model, not a curated record